This 443-nucleotide ribosomal RNA is filed under the name uncultured bacterium. Its description in RNAcentral is "partial 16S ribosomal RNA". It matches the Rfam family "Bacterial small subunit ribosomal RNA", at positions 338 to 795 of the family's 1533-position model. The record is from RNAcentral.
CCUACGGGAGGCUGCAGUGGGGAAUAUUGGGCAAUGGAGGCAACUCUGACCCAGCAACGCCGCGUGAAUGAUGAAGGUCUUCGGAUUGUAAAGUUCUGUGAUGGGGGAUGAACACAAUGACGGUACCCACAGAGGAAGCACCGGCUAACUCCGUGCCAGCAGCCGCGGUAAUACGGAGGGUGCAAGCGUUGUCCGGAAUCAUUGGGCGUAAAGAGUUCGUAGGCGGCAUGUAAAGUCAGGUGUUAAAGGCGCAGGCUCAACCUGUGUAUGGCACUUGAUACUUGCAAGCUGGAAUGCGGUAGAGGUAAAGGGAAUUCCUGGUGUAGCGGUGAAAUGCUUAGAUAUCAGGAGGAACAUCGGUGGCGUAAGCGCUUUACUGGGCCGUAAUUGACGCUGAGGAACGAAAGCCAGGGUAGCAAAUGGGAUUAGAUACCCUUGUAGUC